UACGUAGGGGGCAAGCGUUGUCCGGAUUCAUUGGGCGUAAAGAGCGUGUAGGCGGCCGCUUAAGUCCUGCGUGAAAUCUCGGAGCUCAACUCCGAGCGGUCGUGGGAAACUGGGCGGCUAGAGUGCGGGAGAGGAGAGUGGAAUUCCUGGUGUAGCGGUGAAAUGCGCAGAUAUCAGGAAGAACACCAAUGGCGAAAGCAGCUCUCUGGGACGGUACUGACGCUGAGACGCGAAAGCGUGGGGAGCGAACAGG
This 253-nucleotide ribosomal RNA is filed under the name uncultured bacterium. Its description in RNAcentral is "partial 16S ribosomal RNA". It matches the Rfam family "Bacterial small subunit ribosomal RNA", at positions 524 to 776 of the family's 1533-position model. The record is from RNAcentral.